UGGCGGACGGGUGAGUAAUGUCUGGGAAACUGCCCGAUGGAGGGGGAUAACUACUGGAAACGGUAGCUAAUACCGCAUAACGUCGCAAGACCAAAGAGGGGACCUUCGGGCCUCUUGCCAUCGGAUGUGCCCAGAUGGGAUUAGCUAGUAGUGGGGUAACGGCUCACCUAGGCGACGAUCCCUAGCUGGUCUGAGAGGAUGACCAGCCACACUGGAACUGAGACACGGUCCAG
This 233-nucleotide ribosomal RNA is filed under the name uncultured bacterium. Its description in RNAcentral is "partial 16S ribosomal RNA". It matches the Rfam family "Bacterial small subunit ribosomal RNA", at positions 96 to 334 of the family's 1533-position model. The record is from RNAcentral.